This 253-nucleotide ribosomal RNA is filed under the name uncultured bacterium. RNAcentral's name for it is "partial 16S ribosomal RNA". It matches the Rfam family "Bacterial small subunit ribosomal RNA", at positions 524 to 776 of the family's 1533-position model. The record is from RNAcentral.
UACGUAGGUGGCGAGCGUUGUCCGGAUUUACUGGGCGUAAAGGGCGCGUAGGCGGACUUGCAAGUCUGUGGUGAAAGCCCCCAGCUCAACUGGGGAGGGUCGUGCGAAACGGGUGAACUAGAGGCCAGUAGGGGGAUGCGGAAUUCCGGGUGUAGUGGUGGAAUGCGUAGAGAUCCGGAGGAACACCAGCGGCGAAGGCGGCAUCCUGGACUGGUCCUGACACUCAGGAGCGAAAGCGUGGGGAGCGAUCCGG